AAUUCUUCUUUAGUAAUCUCUUUCUACACAAUAAGUCGAAUGAUAGUCGCAUGUCACUAAACCGUAGUCAGGAUUUCCUGCAACUCUCUCAUGACGAAGGAAAUUUGUCUUAAAUUCUUCAUUCCUGAGAUAUGGAAGCUCAAACAUCGCUUACCGCGACAGUUUACACGAGGUCCUGUUGUCCAGAAAGAGCAGUCAGAGUCUUUUAAACUUAAAGGGACACGUUCACGGAAAUAGAAUGCACACGUUACUGUAGAGGAAGUAAACAUUAAAUUGGGCGUGCAACAGAUCAUUAAUUAAUAGUUAUGACACGUGUUUAGACACGCGUAGAGAGUAGAGACAGCAAUCAGUCGCAGAACCGGGAGUAGGCAUCUGUAGAACACUUCUCUCGAACAGAAUUAGCUCUUUUGCCACCCCAAGAUACUCUUUUUAGUGAAGAAACACCAGGAAUAUUUACAAGUAGCCACUCGAGUAGCCAUUUUGCCUUAAUUAAUAGGGGCGCGGCCGCACGUUAUGAAUAGUUAUCAACACUAAACGUCAUCAUUAAUGAUGUCAUCUUGAAGAACGGGCCAGUUUUUCAAGAUGACGUGCUUCCGUGCAUGUGUCCCUUUA
Amphimedon queenslandica is the source of this 612-nucleotide long non-coding RNA. RefSeq lists it as uncharacterized. The transcript is spliced from 2 exons. The record is from RefSeq and is a predicted model, not a curated record. Lineage: Eukaryota; Metazoa; Porifera; Demospongiae; Haplosclerida; Niphatidae.